Molecule: ribosomal RNA, 467 nt
Filed under: uncultured bacterium
Lineage: Bacteria
Description: partial 16S ribosomal RNA
Rfam family: Bacterial small subunit ribosomal RNA
Source: RNAcentral
GACGAACGCUGGCGGCGUGCUUAACACAUGCAAGUCGAACGGAAAGGCCCUGCUUUUGUGGGGUGCUCGAGUGGCGAACGGGUGAGUAACACGUGAGUAACCUGCCCUUGACUUUGGGAUAACUUCAGGAAACUGGGGCUAAUACCGGAUAGGAGCUCCUGCUGCAUGGUGGGGGUUGGAAAGUUUCGGCGGUUGGGGAUGGACUCGCGGCUUAUCAGCUUGUUGGUGGGGUAGUGGCUUACCAAGGCUUUGACGGGUAGCCGGCCUGAGAGGGUGACCGGCCACAUGGGGACUGAGAUACGGCCCAGACUCAUACGGGAGGCAGCAGUGGGGAAUAUGGCACAAUGGGCGGAAGCCUGAUGCAGCAACGCCGCGUGCGGGAUGACGGCCUUCGGGUUGUAAACCGCUUUCGCCUGUGACGAAGCGUGAGUGACGGUAAUGGGUAAAGAAGCACCGGCGAACUACGU